This 237-nucleotide ribosomal RNA is filed under the name uncultured bacterium. RNAcentral's name for it is "partial 16S ribosomal RNA". It matches the Rfam family "Bacterial small subunit ribosomal RNA", at positions 118 to 351 of the family's 1533-position model. The record is from RNAcentral.
UGAGGAACAUGACCUUCGGCGGGGGAGUAGCCGGCCCAACGGCCGGGUAAUACCGCGUACGACCUUUCGGGGACAUCCCCGGCUGGUGAAAGCAGCAAUGCACCGAAAGAGUGCCUCGCGGCCUAUCAGCUUGUUGGUGAGGUAAUAGCCCACCAAGGCGACGACGGGUAGCUGGUCCGAGAGGAUGACCAGCCACAUUGGGACUGAGGCACGGUCCAGACUCCUACGGGGAGGCAG